RNAcentral lists this ribosomal RNA (492 nucleotides) under uncultured bacterium. Its description in RNAcentral is "partial 16S ribosomal RNA". It matches the Rfam family "Bacterial small subunit ribosomal RNA", at positions 29 to 507 of the family's 1533-position model. The record is from RNAcentral.
AGUGAACGCUGGCGGUAGGCCUAACACAUGCAAGUCGAACGGCAGCACCGUAAGAGCUUGCUCUUACGGGUGGCGAGUGGCGGACGGGUGAGGAAUACAUCGGAAUCUACUUUUUCGUGGGGGAUAACGUAGGGAAACUUACGCUAAUACCGCAUACGACCUACGGGUGAAAGCAGGGGAUCUUCGGACCUUGCGCGAUUGAAUGAGCCGAUGUCGGAUUAGCUAGUUGGCGGGGUAAAGGCCCACCAAGGCGACGAUCCGUAGCUGGUCUGAGAGGAUGAUCAGCCACACUGGAACUGAGACACGGUCCAGACUCCUACGGGAGGCCACAGUGGGGAAUAUUGGACAAUGGGCGAAAGCCUGAUCCAGCCAUACCGCGUGGGUGAAGAAGGCCUUAGGGUUGUAGAGCCAUUUUGUUGGGAAAGAAGAGCAGCAGGUUAAUACCCCGCUGUUCUGACGGUACCCAAAGAAUAAGCACCGGCUAACUUCGUG